CCACACCUAAAACUUUCCACGUGACUCGUUUCACCCAAUAGUUGGGGGUCUUACUUGGCGGCGGCUGCUGGCUUUAUUGCUGGCGGCUACUGGCUGGGCGAGCCCUAUCAAAAGGCGAGCGUUUGGACUUCGGUCUGAGCUAGUAGCUUUUUUAUUUUAAACCCUUUACUUAAUACUGAUUAUACUGUGGGGACGAAAGUCUCUGCUUUUAACUAGAUAGCAACUUUCAGCAGUGGAUGUCUAGGCUCGCACAUCGAUGAAGAACGCUGCGAACUGCGAUACGUAAUGCGAAUUGCAGGAUUCAGUGAGUCAUCGAAAUUUUGAACGCAUAUUGCACUUCCGGGUUAGUCCUGGAAGUAUGCCUGUAUCAGUGUCCGUACAACAACUUGGCUUUCUUCCUUCCGUGUAGUCGGUGGAGGAGAUGCCAGAUGUGAAGUGUCUUGCGGUUGGUUUUCGGACCGACUGCGAGUCCUUUUAAAUGUACUAAACUGUACUUCUCUUUGCUCCAAAAGUGGUGGCAUUGCUGGUUGUGGACGCUGCUAUUGUAGCGAGUUGGCGACCGGUUUGUCUGCUGCGGCGUUAAUGGAGAAAUGCUCGAUUCGUGGUAUGGUUGGCUUCGGCUGAACAAUGCGCUUAUUGGGUGAUUUUCCUGCUGUGGCGUGAUGGACUGGUGAACCAUGGCUCUUUAGCUUGGCAUUUGAAUCGGCUUUGCUGUUGCGAAGUAGAGUGGCGGCUUCGGCUGCCGAGGGUCGAUCCAUUUGGGAAAUG
Molecule: ribosomal RNA, 768 nt
Filed under: Phytophthora infestans (potato late blight agent)
Lineage: Eukaryota; Oomycota; Peronosporomycetes; Peronosporales; Peronosporaceae
Description: eukaryotic LSU rRNA
Rfam family: 5.8S ribosomal RNA (bases 222-376)
Source: RNAcentral